CGAUCCCAUCCCGAACUCGGCCGUGAAACCAGACUGCGCCGAUGGUACUUCAGCUUAAGCUGCGGAAGAGUAGGUCGUCGCCAGGC
This 86-nucleotide ribosomal RNA is filed under the name Pseudomonadota bacterium. The record is from RNAcentral. Lineage: Bacteria; Pseudomonadati; Pseudomonadota.